AGAGCACUCAGCUGUGCAAAUGAAAUGCUGGCACCUCACUGAUAAGAGGGGAGAGUGCCCAUGCCAGGGCAGAGGCGGGGGACAUGUAAGGAUGCAGCAGAUAAUGGUGGCUCGAGAGCUGCUGGAGGUCAGAGCCAUCCCAGAGCAGUUUGCUCACCUGUGGACUUCAGCUACACCAGCACAGACCUUCCAUGUCUACUGGGGAGAGGUGACAGCACUGAUUAAUUUGACCCUCUGCUCUACAAAUGCUAAUCUACAUCUGUGUCUUAUUCUGGAACAGAGCCCAAAGUCCUGGAUCUGUUGUAUCUCAGCACACAAUUGCAAAAGGACGAAUGUGAUGUGAUUCUAGAAGUGCAGCAGAAGGGAGGAAGCUGCACUUCCCCAAGGUUCCCUGCCCACUUAAAGACCAUGUUCAUCAGGAUACACCUGCUGAGUUUCCUGCUGUGAACAUCUGACAGGCAGCUGAUAAAAAAGGACAGAACCGAGGGAGCAGAGAGCCAAAGAAUGAAAGGAUGCAAAAGAUGUUGGCAUUUUCCUGCUUACUUUUGGGAUGCUGAUGUGAUUCAAUGCAGGCUAAAAUGGCUUUGUCCUCACACUGAGUGCACAGCAAAAUGGAUGCAUUGCUGUGCAUUGCUGUGUCCCCUGCUCCAAGUGCUGCUCCCCUGUUUAACAAAGAGGUAUAACCAAAUGGGGAGCUGACAUUACUUCCUAAGGGUGCAGACAUUCCUAACAAGGAGGUCAAUGACAACUUCAAGCAUAGCAAAAAGAGUAUUCCUAUAAUUCUUUAGAACAACGUUAUCACUUAUUACCUGUCACUGGGAAUACAGUAAGAAUCCUAAAUAUGACUUGGAGACGAUUUGGAAAAGCAAAACUUACAAUUUGAAAACUGCACAUAACAUUUCUCUGAGAAACAAAAAGUUCCUGAGGUUCCUGCCUGCAAGAGGGUGCCAUAAGCAUCCCUGCAGAUAUUUAUUCUGACCUCCUGGACCUUUGUCCGAGGCUCAUUUAUUGGGUUUAAAUAAAUAAGCAUUAACAAACCCAAGGCUUCAGAUCUUCCACUGUCCUGCACUGAGCCAAGAUCUUAAGCAAAGAGGCUUAAGUCACAUCUAUAUUUCCUUUGACCUAGAGACAGAGCACAGCUCAGUAUAUCCCAGUUAUGGAGCAAAAAGACCUCUAUGGCUGUACAACCUUGCGUUCAGCUGCCUGAGAAAUCUUUAGAAACUGCUGUAAAGGCAGAUCACCACAGGCUGGCAUUCCCUGCUUGCUGCAGACACUUUCACAUGCAGCACUGGCUGGGCAGAGCAGCCAGAGCCCCAGCCCUGACUUACUUGCAUGACAGCCUCAGGAAUCCUCCUGGUGCUGCCUCGCCAGCCUUGGGUAGUGCUGCACUGCAGGAAUACAGUGCCCAGCCUCUCAGAGCCAGCCCUUGAGCUUUGGUAGCUGCCAGGACAAAAGACAAUCUCUAAAUGUCAGCCAAUAUAAUCUCACAGACAUCACCUAUAACUUUUCCUGGGCUUACCUGGGUCGCUGUGGAGGGUAGGGCACUGUUUCCCCUGACAUUCACAACGAACGCGUGCACCAGAGAAUACGAGGCUCCUCGUACACAGCGUAUUGUUCUGGAUUUCCUAUUUCUUCAGGGUUGUCUUGGCAACGAAGAGGGUUUGCCGCUAGAGGUGUGUGAAACACUGGGUAACAAAAAACAUCACAACUCCCACUUGUUUCAUUCCAUCACCCCUUUAAACCUGACUCUUUUUCAACCUGGAACUGCUCUCAGUGUGCUGUGUGUCAGGAGGGGCAGCGCAAAUCAGCGCAGACUCCUCUGCCUCCCCCUUUCCCCCAACACAGUGAUUUUGAAAAUAACAAAAAAUGACAUUUUUCAUUGGAAAAUGAUGUCUAUCCAAAUACCCUUACAUGCUCUGUUCCCAUUCUGCCUUCAACUACCUUUUUAGGGAGUAGUUCCCUGGCAGGCAAUGGAACUGGCAGCUCCAGAAUGGAUUUAAGCAAAAUCAGGAUGGGAUUUUUCAUUUGUUUGCUUGUUUUAAUUAAUGACAUUUUUAGUGACGUUAGUGAAGUCAAUGAGGUGACUGUGAACUGAUUUCAAUAUGAUCAGGUCUGCCAAUUUGCCCUAAAUAAAAGGAGCCUUUCCUUUGUACAGAGAAGAGAUGCUGGACAGAGAAUGCUACACCUGGUCAGCAAACUAAUGGAAGUACCCCACUUGCCCUUCUGACUCAGCUCCUUCCAUGGACAACAGACCUUUAUUUACUAUCAAUGGAAGUAUUCUGAAAAGUUUUUAAAGCAUCUGUGGAUGCACACAGAUGCAUCAACAUCACCUUGCUCAUUCAUGUAAUUUGCCUUUAUUUUUACUUACUGAAGGCAUUAAAAAAUUAACCCAAACAGCUGUUCAGAUGCCUCUAUUUUUUUAUGCAGCAAAGGGAAAAAAAGUCUGAACAGCUGUGUCAGUGGAACACAUCCAGGUGGCAUCCCUAAGGCAAAGUUUUUAUAAAACCUGUAAGAUAAUAUUUUUAUUAUCUUAGUUAUUUUAUUUCUUUUUUAUUACUUAGCUCUUGUAGAUUCUUAAAGAGGUAUUAGCUAGUUAUUUCUUCACCCUCAUCCCUCAGUGUUUGAGCUGUGCUGUAGCUCAACACAGAUGCUGCAGUGAUUCAGCCAUCAAAGGGGAAAAUCACCCUUUCAGCAGAAUCCUUCUGAAUCUAUUCUGGGGUCUUAAAUGGGAUGUGAGUCUGGGUAAGGAGCAAUUUUGCAUAUCUGGCUUUUCUACAGGGAGAAACUCAAGAUGUGGCACCAAAAAUUGCCUUAGGGAUGCUCAAAAGCAGAGGGAAUUUGUUUCCCAGAUUGUAUAACUAAGCUGAGACACAGAAUUUUGUUGCAGUUCCUUGACAAGGUAGCUGGGUCAUCCCCAAGGAGAGGCCAAGACUCACAAUUACACAAGAGUCUGAAAGAGCAGCUGUUUGGGACUCCAACAUGUGUAGCACUGGGGAUUUGGAAAUGGCUGGUCAAAUUCUCAGCUGUGUGAUGCUGAAAUCUGUAUCAGGUUCACUGACAAAGACUCAUGAAGAAACUCCCUCACUGAAGUUCUGAAUUCCUCAACUGCAGUCCCAGAAGUUUCCCAUUCUGCAUGGAGUACAUUUUAGCUUUCUAAACUCUGGCACCCUUUCCAUGCAUUUACUAUCAUGUCUCAAGCAUGAGAAUCUUCCAAACACCAGUUCCAAGCUCUGCAUUUUCUGGCACCACACUCCCUCUGUGCCCUAGGCCAUCAUACCAGAGUCCAAACCCUACACCCUGCCCAGUCAUCCAGGGCUCAUCUGCUUGGUGCCUUCCACAGAAACCCUCCUAAGAGUGGGAUUCUGUUGCUAUAAGGCAGCUUGCUGAAUUAUGGAUGUGCUAUCCAUAAACUGAUGGUUGAUAUUUUCUGCCCUGACAUCAGUCCUUGAAUUAACAACUCUGUAGAACAAAGUGAAAGCACUGAAGUGUCAAAAUUACCAGCCACAACACAGGUGUUACAGCAAAUGAUAUUCAUAAUAACGAAUAAAAAUAACUAUAGUGAUUAAGCAAUUUGUUGCUGUUAUUGUUUUUUCUCUUAUUCCCACAAUAUUUGACAAA
Long non-coding RNA from Melospiza melodia melodia, 3618 nucleotides. RefSeq lists it as uncharacterized. The record is from RefSeq and is a predicted model, not a curated record. Lineage: Eukaryota; Metazoa; Chordata; Aves; Passeriformes; Passerellidae. The transcript is spliced from 4 exons.